Molecule: long non-coding RNA, 554 nt
Organism: Triplophysa rosa
Lineage: Eukaryota; Metazoa; Chordata; Actinopteri; Cypriniformes; Nemacheilidae
Exons: 3
Source: RefSeq, a predicted model, not a curated record
AUCAGGCUGUGCCUUAACUUCAUCAGGCAUGGAGGCAAUAUAUGAGGUAGAGGUGACCACAGGCUCAAUGACCCAUGCUGGUACUUUUGACAAUGUAUUCAUUACUCUGAUUGGCACACAAGGAGAAAGUGAGCGGACCAAACUUGGGAUUUUAAGAUGGGAAUGAAAGUGAAGUACAAAGUGGCCACCAAGUCCAUCCUUGCCACCCUCCUGCUGGUCAGGCUUGAGAAAGAUAUGUUCCUACCAGAGAAUGACUGGUUCUGCUCUAUGAUAAGUGUGAAAACUCCUGAGCAGGAUGUGAUCUUUUUCCCAAGUUAUCACUGGAUGGUAGAAAGGGAGGUGAUUGAGCUUCGAGAGGCUAAAGGUUUGCGUGUCUAUUCAUUACGAAUAAUUACAGGCAGCUACAUUGUUAAAGGGAUAGCUCACAUAAAAAAAUCUGUCAUCAUUUAUUCACCCUCAUUUUGUUCAUAUAUUGAAUUAUAUUAAUCUAUUGACUAUGUUAAUCUUUAAAAUCAUUUAAGUGAUUUUUUUCAGAGGGACAUUAAAAAAGAUUA